Molecule: ribosomal RNA, 574 nt
Filed under: uncultured bacterium
Lineage: Bacteria
Description: partial 16S ribosomal RNA
Rfam family: Bacterial small subunit ribosomal RNA
Source: RNAcentral
UGGGGAAUUUUGGACAAUGGGGGAAACCCUGAUCCAGCCAUCCCGCGUGUGCGAUGAAGGCCUUCGGGUUGUAAAGCACUUUUGGCAGGAAAGAAACGUCGCGGGUUAAUACCCCGCGAAACUGACGGUACCUGCAGAAUAAGCACCGGCUAACUACGUGCCAGCAGCCGCGGUAAUACGUAGGGUGCAAGCGUUAAUCGGAAUUACUGGGCGUAAAGCGUGCGCAGGCGGUUCGGAAAGAAAGAUGUGAAAUCCCAGAGCUUAACUUUGGAACUGCAUUUUUAACUACCGGGCUAGAGUGUGUCAGAGGGAGGUGGAAUUCCGCGUGUAGCANGAAUGCAGUCAGAUAUGCGGAGGAACACCGAUGGCGAAGGCAGCCUCCUGGGAUAACACUGACGCUCAUGCACGAAAGCGUGGGGAGCAAACAGGAUUAGAUACCCUGGUAGUCCACGCCCUAAACGAUGUCAACUAGCUGUUGGGGCCUUCGGGCCUUGGUAGCGCAGCUAACGCGUGAAGUUGACCGCCUGGGGAGUACGGUCGCAAGAUUAAAACUCAAAUGAAUUGACGGGGUCGA